UACGGGGGGAGCAAGCGUUGUUCGGAUUUACUGGGCGCAAAGGGCGCGUAGGCGGCGUGACAAGUCACUUGUGAAAUCUCCGGGCUUAACUCGGAACGGUCAAGUGAUACUGUCGUGCUAGAGUGCGGAAGGGGCAACUGGAAUUCUUGGUGUAGCGGUGAAAUGCGUAGAUAUCAAGAGGAACACCUGCGGCGAAGGCGGGUUGCUGGGCCGACACUGACGCUGAGGCGCGAAAGCUAGGGGAGCGAACGGG
Molecule: ribosomal RNA, 253 nt
Filed under: uncultured bacterium
Lineage: Bacteria
Description: partial 16S ribosomal RNA
Rfam family: Bacterial small subunit ribosomal RNA
Source: RNAcentral